Molecule: RNA transcript, 2188 nt
Organism: Neomonachus schauinslandi (Hawaiian monk seal)
Lineage: Eukaryota; Metazoa; Chordata; Mammalia; Carnivora; Phocidae
Gene: ARFGAP2
Gene name: ADP ribosylation factor GTPase activating protein 2
Exons: 18
Source: RefSeq, a predicted model, not a curated record
AAAUCGCCCCACCCCCGGCUGGCGAGGGCGCUGCUGGCGCCGCGCCGGUGCCCCGCCUUCCCGGCCGCGGAUUGGCCCGCGACGGGACCCGUUGGUCGCGCUGGUGUCUGGGAAGGAGAGAAAAUGGCGGCGGAACCAAGCAAGACCGAAAUCCAGACUCUUUUCAAGCGGCUUCGCGGGAUUCCGACCAACAAGGCCUGCUUCGACUGUGGCGCCAAGAAUCCGAGUUGGGCCAGCAUCACGUAUGGUGUUUUCUUGUGCAUUGACUGUUCUGGGGUGCACCGCUCCCUGGGCGUCCAUCUCAGCUUCAUCAGGUCCACAGAGUUGGAUUCCAAUUGGAACUGGUUCCAGCUGAGGUGUAUGCAGGUCGGCGGAAAUGCCAAUGCGACAGCUUUCUUCCGCCAACAUGGAUGUACAGCCAGUGAUGCCAACACCAAAUACAAUAGCCGAGCUGCCCAGAUGUACCGGGAAAAGAUCCGGCAGCUGGGGAGUGCAGCCCUAGCUAGGCAUGGCACUGAUCUUUGGAUAGACAAUAUGAGUAGUGCUUCCAGUCACUCCCCAGAGAAGAAGGACUCUGAUUUCUUCACGGAACACACUCAACCCCCUGCCUGGAAAGAACCAGCCCCCAACCCAGCAGAGACCCAGCAGCUAGCCCCUUCUACAGAGAUCAGUAGCCUGGCACAGCCGGAGCACGGCCCCAACAUGGACCUGCUUGGCACCUCACCCAAAGCCUCUCUGGAGUCCAUGCGUCUGUCACCUAAAGGGGCCCUUCCUGCCAGAGAACCGAGAACCUCCCUCAUUGGCAAGAAGAAGCCAGCAGCAGCUAAGAAAGGGCUGGGUGCCAAGAAAGGCCUGGGGGCCCAGAAGGUGAGCAGCCAGAGCUUCAGUGAAAUGGAGCGGCAGGCCCAGGUGGCAGAGAAGCUCCGUGAGCAGCAGGUGGCUGAUGCCAAGAAGCAGGCCGAGGAGUCCAUGGUUGCCUCUAUGCGCCUGGCCUACCAGGAGCUCCAGAUUGACCGUAAGAAGGAGGAAAAGAAGCUACAGAAUCUGGAAGGGAAGAAGCGAGAACAGGCAGAGAGGUUGGGCAUGGGCUUGGUGUCCCGCAGCUCCGUCUCUCACUCGGUGCUGUCUGAGAUGCAGGUGAUCGAGCAGGAAACCCCCGUGAGCGCAAAAUCCUCCCGCUCGCAGCUCGACUUGUUUGAUGACGUUGGUACUUUCGCCUCUGGACCCCCAAAGUACAAGGACAACCCCUUCUCCUUGGGGGAAAGUUUCAGUUCCCGCUGGGAUACGGAUGCCGCCUGGGGUAUGGACCAGAUGGAGGAGAAGGAGCCAGAAGUGACUAUCUCAAGCAUCCGGCCUAUUUCAGAAAGGGUCACAAACAGAAGAGAGGUGGAAAGCCGGAGCUCAGGCCUCGAGUCCAGUGAAGCACGCCAGAAAUUUGCAGGAGCCAAAGCCAUCUCAUCGGACAUGUUCUUUGGGCGGGAGGUGGAUGCUGAGCAUGAAGCCCGGUCUCGACUCCAGCAGCUCUCGGGUAGUAGCGCCAUCAGCUCUUCGGACCUCUUCGGGGACGUGGAUGGAGCUCAUGGAGCAGGUAGCGUAUCGCUGGGCAACGUGCUCCCCACAGCUGACAUUGCCCAGUUUAAGCAGGGUGUCAAGUCUGUGGCCGGGAAGAUGGCCGUGCUGGCCAAUGGUGUGAUGAAUUCUUUGCAGGAUCGCUAUGGCUCCUACUGAUCCAGGCGCCACGGCUCAAGCGUAUGGUGGCAACAGCAGCAAAACCCCCACGAUUCCAAGGCCAGGGGCGCUUGCCUUGUGGAAGCUGGGGAGGAAUUGUUACUUUUUAUGUGUUGUGUUGAUCACUUGAGGGAUACUUCUCCUGAGUGUCUCGGAGUCCUUCCAUACCAUCCAUUGUGGAGCACAGGACCCUCUGUCCCUUCUUCCCCUGCUUGGUGGCCAUGGUGGGUCUCAUCUGCCCUAUGCCCCGCUCUGGAUGCUGUGAGCAUAAUGCUGUCCAAGGAAGCAGAGGACAUGGGGGACAGAAACAGGCUCUUGGGGCUCAACUUUUUUCUUCUGUAUCAUCCUGGUCUUGGGGGGGGCCUAGACAGCACCCCCCCACCCCUCAGUGAGAGCUUGAGGCAUGACAGAGCUGCAGGCCUCGCCCCCUGGCCGCUGGGCCCUGUGCUGUGUCCUCGUG